Non-coding RNA from Equus caballus (horse), 7891 nucleotides. NCBI's taxonomy places the organism in Eukaryota, Metazoa, Chordata, Mammalia, Perissodactyla, Equidae. The record is from RefSeq and is a predicted model, not a curated record.
ACCAGCAAAACUCUGGGCCAUCGUAGUAGAGCGCGCAAACUUAACCACUCGGCCAUGAGGCCAGUCCCUAUACAUAGUUUUUAAUAACUAUAAGUUUUGGUGUAUUGAUAUACUAUUUCUUUGAUUCUCUAAUAUCAACAUCUCUGCCUCUUUACAAGUUGAUUUAUAUGUAUUAAGAGCUGUAAACAAAAUUAGUCCAUUUUAAAAAUGGGCAUAUUUAUUUGUAAAUUAUCAGCCAAGAUCUAUCCCAAUGCAGACUGCUUUGUUCUAGUCUGAAUAUACAAUAAAAUUAAUUUAAAUAACUUUAAUCAGCUUCAAAAACAGCAAAUUCCAAGACAAUUAGGUUAACUUUAAGAACUCAUAUUUAUUGAGUUAACAGAUGGUAAAUUAAAAAACAAUGAAGUUAAUUUUUAAAAUCAUUCACUGAGUUAAAAAAAUAGACAUUUAACAAAACUGUUUUUAAGUUGUUUUUUCAUCCCAAUAUGCAUAUUUUAAGAUUCCAAUUUAGAGGACUUCUGGGAAGACACCAAAUGACUCGCAGUAUAUGAAUGCUCUUCCACCAAAUAACUUAUUAAACAGCCUUAGAACCAUCUGAAAAAGAAUUGUAUGCAUCAACAAUAAAAAUAUAAGAAAUGAGCUUAUUCCAGAUACUGGAAGGAAUGAAAGAUCUGCCUCAUCAAUUCCAAUUUGUUCUCUGACACGCUCUCGUGGCCUUCUGUAUUGCUGGCCCUGACAUACCUUGGGAAUUUUCUAUGCUAGCAGAGUAAAAGUUACUCCUGGCCAGAUUGCAUUUCUACAUUUUAGCAGUCAAAUGUAAAAGAUUUCCCUUUGAUGGCUUCUUGGGACUUGUGCACCAGUGACUUGAAAUAUAUGAGCAUCACAAAAAUGUUUUCUUUGUUUUCUCCUUUGCUGUCAUUGUAAGUGCUAAAAGCUGACUCUGCAAGCUUACAGGAAAAGAGGAAUUUCGUGGAAGCACAGUGAGGGUGUGAGGGUUUUUCCUCUUGGGCUCCUACUUCAUUGGGUCUCCUUGGAGUUUUUGGAGAUGAAAGAAUGACAUAUUCCAAUACAUGAAGUGUACUAGAAACUCUCGUUGUUUCCACAUGAGAGUUCAAUCAUUUCUCCUACUUCCCAUGGUUUUAUUGAUGGCAUUGAAGAGAACACCAUGGAUACAUUAAGAUACAUUAUUUGCAUUGUACUGGCUAUUAUUAGGGGUUUUUUGGUAAGGAAGACUCUUUCUGAGCUAACAUCUGUGCCCAUCUUCCUCUAUUUUGUAUGUAGGAUGCCACCACAGCAUGGCUUGAUGAGCAGUGUGUAGGUCCACACCCAGGAUUCGAAUCCACAAACCCCAGGCCACCGAAGCAGAGCGUGUGAAAUUAACCACUAUGACAGCAGGCUGGCCCCUGGCUAUUAUUGGUUUUAACGUCGUGGCAUAUUUAGAACAAAAGUUCUACCUGUAGAGAUGAAGUUAUUUCACAAACAUAUUUGGAAUAGAUCUGUUUGCAUGGCUGGUUGCUCAAUCGGUGUUACAGUCUUUUCUUUACCCUGGAUAACAGCAAACUGUCUUAUAUUUUAUUUUAUGAUUCUCAAAACUCCUUGUCUAAGAUCUGGUCUCACUACAUUGUAAACCUUACAUUUCUUGGUCAGUAAUGUUGAGAAUUAUAUUUACUGGUUUUGAUAGACCAAUUUAUUAGUUGUAAUUUGAAUUAAAAACAGAGAUGUAAAGCACAUUUAUUAGUGAAAUUACUGGAGUAAAAAUUAUCUUAUUAUUGUGCAUUUGAAACUAUUUAGCGCCUAGCCCCUUUUCUCCUUGAAAUAACUGUUUUUAUAAUAACCUUUUGAUAAUAUGAGACUUCUUAGAAAUGUAUUUAUUACAAUAUAGUAGUACAGACUAUAUUGUUUUUAAUUAAGCAAGAACAGGUAUAAAUAAGAAUAGAUUGUGACUAAAUGAAAAAUUCAGUAGGUGAAAUUUCUAUUUUGCAGAAAUAGAAAUCAGAGAUACAGAAGAAAAACUUCAUAAGUAGUCUAAACAUCCAAAGGAGAUGAAUAAAAGUUAAAAAGAUAAGAGGAAAUUGGAUAAAUUAUGGAGUUCUAACUCAGAAUAUAAGUUCCUUAAGAGCAAUAAAAAUCUUAUUGUAACCUUACCCCUAACAGAGGACUUAACACAUAGUAUAUACUAUUAGUAUUAAAUAAAUGUUUCUUGAACUUAUGAAUAAAAUAAUCAGUGUUCCCCUGAAAAUAAAGCAGAUGGACCAGAAGUAAAAAUCAAAGUUAUAAAAGAAAAACUUUGUGAAGAAAAAGUUGCACUGACAGAUUUCUUUUGAACAAAAUUAGGAAAUAGAGAUAAAUGCCUAGUCAGAGGCUGGUCAAUUUUUAAAUUUCUAGGGCAAACAAAAUUCCUGCAAUUGUCUAAGAAAAAUAUAUAUAUAAAUACUUUUGUAGAUCACCCUCAUUUUUUUAAUAUAGAACAAGAACUUUUUUAAGACCACAGGUAAAUUUCUACAUAUUUUAAGAGAAACCAGUUUUAUUUUGCAAGUUUUAUGCCUACCUGAUUAUUGGCUUAUGUGUAAAAGCAACAGUGGAACAUUUUAAAAUCUGAAAAGUGUCAGAAAAUAUAAACAUUUUCUGAAAAAUAUUGCAGAGAGAUAUCUUCCAGAUCAUUGAGAGGUGAGACAAUAUAAAAACUCAAGGAUAGGACAUUUUGGGAAAAAUGAUUAGUGCUAAGCAUUGAAGGCAAAGACAAAGAAAUAAAUGAAUAAUGUAUAGUGAAAAUUGAAGUGAGUGAAGAAUUGAUGCUGAUGGCUAGAUAUUUUUUUUUACUAAAGGACCAAUGUUUUCAAUAAAACAAUCUUUAAGAAGAAAUUUUCAUAUUUUUAAGUGAAGAGUUUGUAACUCAUGGUCACAAUGUGGAAUGAGGAAAUGUAGAAAACAAAAGCAUUAGAAGUUGUUGCUUUAUUUUUAAAUCAUUAGAUAAGAAUGCAUUUAAGGAUAGUUAUGCAUAAUUAAAUGUAGGCACUAGUUGAACUGGAAACAAACGAUCUAUGUUAUAAGUAACUGUAGAAAAUAAAAGUAAACAAAACAUAGUCCAUGCAAAAGGCAGAAUGGAAAGGAAACAAUAACAAACUAUUGAAAAGGACAAAGUAUAAAAUAAGUCCAAUCAAGCUUAAAAAUUAUGACAAGUAUAAAUGGCUUAAAUUUUCCUAUUCAAAUGGAAAGAUCUUCACAUUAAGUUACAAUGAAAGUCUUAUGAUUUGGUGUACUUACAAGAGUCAUACUUAAAGAAAAAUGACAUAGAAAUAUUUUUUUAAAUGGCAAAGAUUUUCCAGCCUAACAUGCUUACAUCUAAAUCAAAUAUAGCAAUAUAAAUAUAAAAGAGGAAUUUUUGUCACAAAAAAAGUAAAUAAGACAACAGGACUAUUUUAUAAUCAUGAAUAGCAUAGUAUUAGUGAGAGAAUAAUGGUACUGAAAGAUUAUGCAUUAAAUAAGCAAAAGGUAAUUUUUACAUUCCGUUCUUUUAAUACAAUAGGACUCAACACAGCAAAAUAUUGAAAAUAAUAUGUAUCCAAGCAGUGCAAAAGUUUACAAAAUUAGAAACUAUACUAGGGAAAUACAUCAUAUCAGUAGGUUAAAUAAAAAAAGAAGUCAAUUGUUAUUUUAAUAGAUUGUUUUUAAAAGCAUUGGAUAAAAUUUAAUAGCUGUUUCUGUUAAAAUGAUAAAGAAGGAAAAAUAAAAUAUUUCCCUAACAUGAUAGUAUUUUCAACUAACAGUCAGCAUUAAAAUUAAUGUAAAAAUACUAGAAAUGUAUGUGUUUAAAAACAGGUGGGGAUGGAAGUUGGUAUGAUGGUUUGGUCAUAAUAAUCUUAUUAAAUGUUAUUUUAAAAGCCCUGAUCAGUGUAAUAAAACACUAAAGAAAGAACAGGUAUAAAGAGUGAAAAAGAUACAACAUUAUCCUUGUGUAUUGGAAAAAUAUUUUUUAUAGCUCAAAGCCCAAGGGACUCAAGAAAAAUAUGAAUAGACAAUAAAUGAGUAAAAAUUAAAAGACAUAUGAAUAUUAAAUAAAUCAGUAGUAUUUUUAAAUAUUAGCAACCAUUUAAAUAUAAACUUUUAAAAGAGGUUCAUUUUAUAAGAGCAACAAAAUGUAUAAAGCUGUAUGAUUUAUUUUAAACAGAAAUAUGUGAAAUAAAACUUUUGGGGAGCUAAAAAAUGUUAAAUAAUCAAAAGACCUUAUUUUUAUUGUUUGAUUGUUUUUGAUAUAGCUAAAGUUCUCCUAAAGAACUUUUUGGGAGCUAUAAAAAUAUUAAAAGACUAGUUUCUGCUUUAAAAGAUAACAUUUUUUUAACUGUUAACUUUUUCCAAAAGGUAGAUUUAAUGGAAAUCUAAUAGUUUUUCUUUUGUUUUUCACAUUUUGAGAUAAUAGUGAGAGGAACUUGAUUUUGAAAUAAAUCCGGAAAAGAAAGUAGGCAAGAAUAGCAAGUAAAAAUCAGUUUUGAGAAAGAAGAGUAAUGAGAAGAGACCAGUCUUAUCAAAUAUUAAAAUAUAUUAUAAAGUUAUAAUAAUUAAAAUCAUGUGAUACUGGCACCAAAAUAGAUAGAUUAAUGAGGCUAAAUAUGUGGUCAAAAUAAAUUAUAUUUUGAGAAUAUAAUGAAGUAUUUCAAAGAAUGAAAUAUUUGAUAAUGGCAGGACACAAAUCAAUGGAGAGGGAAAACACUUUACAACACGUGGACUGAUUAACAGUUUGGAAAAAAUCAAUUUGCACAUUCAUCAUACACAUGCAAUAAAUUAGCAAAACUCAAACCAUAGGAAGUCUAAAGGGACUUGUUUUUAUAAGCUUAGAAUACUGUAACUAAUUGCAAAGUGAAAGAUAAAAUAGAUUUGAUUAUAUUAAAACAGCAAUAAAACAAGCCACCAGUAGCCUAGGUACAAUUAUUUGAAUGUAAUAACAGAAAGGGUUAAUAUGAUUAUUGCACAGAAGAUCAUACAAACUCAUAAUAGCACUGCAACUGAGAACUCAUACAUGAGAUAAGAAUAGAAUCACAUUUCACAAAAGAUGAAAUAUAACACAUUUGCAAACAUACAAAAACAUCCAGUCUUACUAAUAAUCACAUGAAUAUACACUAAAACAAGAAUAAGUUAUACUUAGGUUUAAUCCAUUAUUUUUAAAUUAGUGUCAAGGACUUCUACUCUCAGCUGUUGCAGAUUAUUUUCAUUUAGAUCAACUCAUCCGCUGAAAGCAAGUAGAAAAGCUGAAUAAAAUCUAGCAAAUAUUUAUUUAAAGGCAUACCAGAGCUCUGAGGUAGAGAGGACUUGAAAGGCCAAGAACCCAGAGAGCAGGGAAUCCAAGAGAGAUCCCCUAUACAUAACUGCCUGUCAGAAGCAAAAGUGAAACAUCAUUUGACAAAGAUAUGAUCAUCCAGAGGCUCAAAUUAUUUCUAUGAUUUUUCACACACAAUGUGCGGCAUUUAAUAAAGUUACCAGGCAUACCAGCAGACAAGAUAAAAUGACCAAAAAUAGACCUACAGGAGAUCCAGAUACAGGAGUAACAGACUUUAAAAUAUCUGUGAUUAGUCAAUUAAAGAAAUUAGAUGAGAAGAUGGAGAAUUGCAACAGAUUACUGGUAGCUAUCAUGAAAAACAGAAAUUCUGGAACUGAGAAAUAAACUGAUAGAAAUUAAAAACUCAAUAGAUGAGUUUAAGAACAGAUUAGAAAAAGAUGAAGAACAGAUUGAUAAACUGGAAGACCAAAGCAAGAGGAAAUUUAAUGUUAGUAGCCAAAGUCAGCAAGAGGUCAUUGAAAAAUGGUUUCUUCUUACAUAACGAGUGGCAUAUAAGUCUGUAUAACACUUUUUGGAAAUACUUGGCAAUGUAAGUCAGAUAGUAGAACAAAAACUUUUAUAUCUUUUGACCCAAUAUUCUUAUCUCUGAGAAUAUAUUAUAAGGACAUAAUUUUUUUAUUGUGAAUUGCUUUAUGUAUGAAGAUGUUCAUUACAGACAUUUAUAAUAGUAAUAACUUUGUGCAGAUGAUGUUUUAAGUUCUUUUCUUCAAUUAAUGCAGUUAAUCCUCACAAAAACCCAACGAAGUGGAGAUAGUUGCUGUUAAUAUCUUCAUUUUACAGAUGAGAAAACUGGAACACUGACAGAUCAAGUAUCUUUCUCAAGAUUGCAUAGCCAAUGAGCAGAGGAGCAAGGAUUUGAACCAGGCUGUUGGCUCCACAGCCUACGCUUGAACCUGCUCUAGGCUGUCGGAAGCAACCUAAAUAGCUAACAACUGGAGAUUUGCUAAGGUGUUGCGGGCCUCUGCUCUCGUAAUACUUCAGCUACAGAACCCACGUGUGAACGCUCCUAGCGCUCUGGAGAAGAUCAAAUGCAUGUGGAAGCUCUUUGAAAACCAUAAAGCCCUCUAAAUGAAAAGGGUAAUUUUUCUCUCUCCUCUUUUAUACCAUAAACUGCAUGAGGGUACUUGACAGGGCCAUUCAUAGUGACUUCUUAAAAAUGUUUGAUGAAGUAUAUUAAAAAAUCGCAUUGUAAACCUUAAAUGUUUACAACUUUUGUCACUUAUAUCUCAAUAAAGCUGGGAAAAAAGUGUGAUGAAAUAAUGAACCAUUGAUCAAACGAAUGAAUCCAUAAGUGUUAUGGACUGAAUGUCUAUGUCCCCCCCCCCAAUUCAUAUGUUGAGGCCUCUACCCCCAGUGUGGUGGUGGUAGGAGGUGGCCCCUUUGGGAGGUAAUUAGGUUUAGAUGAAGUCGUGAGGGUGGAGCCCCAUGAUGGAAUUCGUGCCCGCACAAGAAGAGUAAGAGACAUCAGCGCUUCCUCUCUCCAGCAUGUGAGGAUACAGUGAGAAGGUGGCCGUCUGCAAGCCUCACCAAGAACUGAAUCUGCCGGCACCUUGAUCUCGGAGUUCCUAGCCUCCAGAACCGUGAGAAAUAAAUGUCUGUUGUUUCAGCCACCCACUCUAUGGUAUUUUGUUGUUGCAGCCUCAGCAGGCCAAGAUGAUGAUUGCAGCCGUGCUCCCUUGCACGUUUUUUUGCGGAGGAAGAUUAGCCCUGAACUAACAUCUGUGUGCAUCUUGCUGUACUUUAUAUGUGCGACACCUGCCACAGCAUAGGUCCACACCCAGGAUCCGAACCAGUGAACCCUGUGCCACCAAAGCAGAACGCGUGAACUUAACCACUAUGCCAUUAGGCUGGUCCACCUUGCACUUUCUUUUAUUUCAGAUGAUUUUGUACUUUCUUUGUAACUCACUCUAAAUAAUGCGUGUUGUUUUGCAUUUUUUAUAUCAGGAAGCGAAAUAUUAAAAAAUUUAUCAAAGUUGCAGGAAAAAGGGCACUCCCAUAAUAGAAAAAAAAAUGUAGCUUUAUGUCAUCAUUUUUUUAGAGAUUCUCUAGAGGUGAGCAGGGUUCCUUUAAAAAUAUGAAAUGAUAUAUUAUUUGAAAGUUGCUUGAACUACCACUGAUUGAGAUGGUAAAUUGGCACAACAGUUGUGCAAUAGCCAUUUAAAAAACAGAAAAACCUUGAACUGUGUAUAACCAUUCAAACAGAGAUAUUCACUUUUAGAAAUUUAUGCUACAGAAAUACAGAUAUGUUCACAAUUAAGCAUGAGACUGUUCAUUGUGGCAUGAGAUAUAUUAGGGGAAAAUUGGAAACAUCCUAAUGUCUAAACAUAGAUGCUAGUUUAAUAAAUUAUAAUACAUCCAAUCUAUAAAAUUCCAUUUACCAUCACAUAGAAAUCAUAUAGAAAAUAUUUAAUGAUGUGAGAAAUACAAAACAUUAAGUGGAAAAAGUAAGCUAGAAAACAGUUUGUCUAAAAUGAUCACAUACGUAAUAUGUAUACAUAUGGUCUGUCAUACAAUAAAAUGUUAACAGGUCAAUUAUGUCUCAAUAAAACUGGAAAAAUGUUA